This 2315-nucleotide long non-coding RNA is filed under the name Coffea arabica (coffee). RNAcentral's name for it is "long non-coding RNA (CARA_LNC006684)". Lineage: Eukaryota; Viridiplantae; Streptophyta; Magnoliopsida; Gentianales; Rubiaceae. The record is from RNAcentral.
GGAGUUUCAAUAAGACUUUCAUACUAAGACAACAAAACAGAUCCUUUCCUUCUCAUGAGAAUCAUCUUCUUGGCUUUUUACGUACCUUUUGGGUUUUUGGAUAUUUGUUGCUUCUGUUCUUGGUUGUUUAAGUUCUUUACACUAGCUGGUGUAUCUCAUAUAAUAUCUUUACGUACGCUAGCUCUUAGAUCUUAUUUCUCGUCAACCUACAAGAGAAAAUGCGAAGCUGCGCAAUUAUAUUUUGUCACCCGGCGCAGUGGGGGUACUUCUUCAGCUAGCUGUUAAGUAACCCAUAUUCUGGAAUUCCGGUGGCUGGCUGAAAUCGAUUGUCAAUAUUCUGUAUCUCUUUGCCAUAUCAUUCCAUCAUUUUGUCUCUCUUUUGGGCAGAACCCGUAUUUUUUCUCCCUUUCAAAAGUGUCGAGCAAAAGGCAACAUGGACCUACUCAAGUGGCACUUCGUAGAGAGCCGCUAGUGAAAAAAGAAGAAGACAGCUACUUUUGUUUCGAUCCGCAAGAGAGACUAAUCCUCUUUUUUUUUCGCUGACAACCUUAUUAUUCCUCAGAUUUGAUUCUUUUCUACUCCAGUUAUUGUUGCUUUAGAACUUGAAAGAUAGAUUGUACGAAAAAAGCUUACAGCAACUUUAGGGUUUCCAUAUCCAAGAGAUCUCGUAAAAGGUGGAUAUAGUGCAUACAAUAAAAUGUGCGUGUCACAAAUUCAGGAAACAUUAGUUAGUGCAUUUAUAUAGCCGCUGCAUGAUUUUACGAAUUAGAUUAGCUGCUCAAAUCCAAAGGUCGAUACAAUCAUAUUUAUAUAUACACACACGCGCGCGAGGGACUCAGGCCACGUUUGACAAAUGAGUUUUUUGAGUGUUUGUCUAAAACUUUACUGUAGUUUACUGUAAAUGUUGUAAGAAAAAUUUUUGAAACGUAUAAAUUUUUGGAUAUUUUGAAAUGUAUAGCUUAAAAUUUUUAAGAAAUUUUUUGAAGUUACCAUAGUUAAAGUUGUUAAAAAACUUGUAGCAGGCAAACUAGGCCAAAAACUUAUACGCCAAACAAGUCCUUAAUUAGGAAUUCUACCUAAUUAGUCGAACAAGAAUUGAAAAGCACCUUUUCUUUAAUUAGAAAAUUCAAUCAAAAUUAGAUGCAAUUGAAACAUUAAAGAUCUUGACUCCAAAUUCUCCUGGUAUGGGUUUUAAUUAAAUUUGAAUGCCAUACGAACCAAAGAAAAAAUGGUGGCACGUACGACAAUAUUGUAAUGAAGUUGGGGAGACAAAUAAAACGAGUGACACAACCAUAUGGUGAUGCCACACGUUAUAAUUACGUCCCAUAUGAGUAUGUUUUUUAUCAUCAUUUUGUUUUUGUUUUUCAGCGGCAUGUUGGUCGCCAGCAGGAGGACAGAAUGGAAGAGACAUUUAACAUAAUUAUGAACUUUUUCGGUGCUCCGUGCUCGUGGAGGAUGAGCUUCAUAUAUAAGAUCACAACUACAGCCAAACUGGAAAAUCGAUCUCCGAAGUGAUUAACAGAGGGAAGUUUCAUGGAAUCACUGAAAACACCAGAACAUGACGACACACAUGGACAUGAUAACAAAGCGUUCAUUGAAGAAGAGAUAAUACAUGCAAGAUUGGCCAGCUGAACUUUCUCAAGCUUCGUACGUGUUGUAAGACAAAAUCGUACGCUACACACAUGGUUCCAUUUGAGCAUGUUCCCGAUUAAUGGGCCACCUUUAAAUCUGGAAUAUAUCCACCGUGAUGCUCUAUCCACCUCACUGGAAUUAUCUUAUGUGACGGAAUAAUCUUACUAUAAAUUAACUUGCAUGGGUUUAAUUAUGUUUUAUUAUUAUUUCUUUUUUUGGGAAGGGCUGGAGGUGUUUAAUUCGUUUAGAAAGUUUAUAUAUAGUUGGUUAAUUAGCUAUUUUGUUAGUACCAAGGUUCAGAAAAUCUAAAAGAAAACAGAAAAGAAUUUGAGAUGAUUCUUGUAAUAAAGUAUAUCAUUAAUUGGUGGUUUAUCAUUUUCUCUUGGCAAAUGAUUGGUCAAAACAUUUGUAUCCACUGAUUCGAUGAGCUUAACGUUAAUGUUCUCGAUCGGGACAGGUUUCAGGAGGGUGAUUGUUUCGUUUGGAAAGCUUGUUCUUGGUUAAUUAGCCACCAUGUUUGAAUCUAAGUUCAGAAAAGUCCCAAAGAGAACAGAAGAGAAUUUGAGAUGAUUCUCGUGAUCGAUCAUCUGUUUGUAUAUAGUUCACUCUUGACAAAUUAUUGUUGAAAACAUUUGUAUCCAGUUCCUAAUACUCGAUCUAGGGAUCGGUUUAAGAUCGCGUCA